UACAGGCUUAACACAUGCAAGUCGAGGGGCAGCAUGGUCUUAUCUUGCUAAGGCCGAUGGCGACCGGCGCACGGGUGAGUAACACGUAUCCAACCUGCCGUCUACUCUUGGACAGCCUUCUGAAAGGAAGAUUAAUACAAGAUGGCAUCAUGAGUCCGCAUGUUCACAUGAUUAAAGGUAUUCCGGUAGACGAUGGGGAUGCGUUCCAUUAGAUAGUAGGCGGGGUAACGGCCCACCUAGUCUUCGAUGGAUAGGGGUUCUGAGAGGAAGGUCCCCCACAUUGGAACUGAGACACGGUCCAAACUCCUACGGGAGGCAGCAGUGAGGAAUAUUGGUCAAUGGGCGAGAGCUUGAACCAGCCAAGUAGCGUGAAGGAUGACUGCCCUAUGGGUUGUAAACUUCUUUUAUAAAGGAAUAAAGUCGGGUAUGGAUACCCGUUUGCAUGUACUUUAUGAAUAAGGAUCGGCUAACUCCGUGCCAGCAGCCGCGGUAAUACGGAGGAUCCGAGCGUUAUCCGGAUUUAUUGGGUUUAAAGGGAGCGUAGAUGGAUGUUUAAGUCAGUUGUGAAAGUUUGCGGCUCAACCGUAAAAUUGCAGUUGAUACUGGAUAUCUUGAGUGCAGUUGAGGCAGGCGGAAUUCGUGGUGUAGCGGUGAAAUGCUUAGAUAUCACGAAGAACUCCGAUUGCGAAGGCAGCCUGCUAAGCUGCAACUGACAUUGAGGCUCGAAAGUGUGGGUAUCAAACAGGAUUAGAUACCCUGGUAGUCCACACGGUAAACGAUGAAUACUCGCUGUUUGCGAUAUACUGCAAGCGGCCAAGCGAAAGCGUUAAGUAUUCCACCUGGGGAGUACGCCGGCAACGGUGAAACUCAAAGGAAUUGACAGGGGCCCGCACAAGCGGAGGAACAUGUGGUUUAAUUCGAUGAUACGCGAGGAACCUUACCCGGGCUUAAAUUGCAGAUGAAUUACGGUGAAAGCCGUAAGCCGCAAGGCAUCUGUGAAGGUGCUGCAUGGUUGUCGUCAGCUCGUGCCGUGAGGUGUCGGCUUAAGUGCCAUAACGAGCGCAACCCUUGUUGUCAGUUACUAACAGGUUCCGCUGAGGACUCUGACAAGACUGCCAUCGUAAGAUGUGAGGAAGGUGGGGAUGACGUCAAAUCAGCACGGCCCUUACGUCCGGGGCUACACACGUGUUACAAUGGGGGGUACAGAGGGCCGCUACCACGCGAGUGGAUGCCAAUCCCCAAAACCUCUCUCAGUUCGGACUGGAGUCUGCAACCCGACUCCACGAAGCUGGAUUCGCUAGUAAUCGCGCAUCAGCCACGGCGCGGUGAAUACGUUCCCGGGCCUUGUACACACCGCCCGUCAAGCCAUGGGAGCCGGGGGUACCUGAAGUGCGUAACCGCGAGGAGCGCCCUAGGGUAAAACUGGUGACUGG
RNAcentral lists this ribosomal RNA (1433 nucleotides) under uncultured bacterium. RNAcentral's name for it is "bacterial SSU rRNA". It matches the Rfam family "Bacterial small subunit ribosomal RNA". The record is from RNAcentral.